This 448-nucleotide long non-coding RNA is filed under the name Equus caballus (horse). RNAcentral describes it as "lncRNA (ENSECAG00000042033.2)". Lineage: Eukaryota; Metazoa; Chordata; Mammalia; Perissodactyla; Equidae. The record is from RNAcentral.
UUUAUUUAGCCAUUCUCCUGUUGAUGGACACCAGAACUAUUUCCAGUUUUUGGCCAUUAAAAACAAGGCUUCCAUCAACGUUUUUGCACAACUUUUUGUGUGUGCGGUCACAUGUUUUCAUUUCUUUUGGGUAAAUUCAGAGGAAUAGAUUUGCUGGGUCAUAAGGAUUGGCCUGGAGGUGGCGCCGCUGCUGUUGGUCUGGAACCACGGGACCAAGACUCAGGAGGGUCUGGCAAAUGGAUGAGGAUGUCAUCCAGCGGAAGAGGAUGCCCAGAAGGCCAGGCUGGACCCUUUUAUCAGCCGCUGGAAGAAAGCAGAGAUAUUGCCCAAACCUAAGAGCACUGAUAUGUCUUCCACAUGCUCAAGACUUAUCUUGAAAUCUGUUUUUGACUCCUGUUUCCUGAGAUCCAGAGUGAUCUGGGUUUUAAAUACAACACCCUGGUUUCUU